GUCUUGUGAGGAAUAGUAAAGUUGAAAUUUGAUUUACAUGUUGGUCUAUGGGCCCAUAGGCCUGUUAAUAUUAUUCGAAAGCCUAUUCAGAUGUACAUAACGUAGGAGACAUUUUUGUACUACAUUGUUUUUCAGUUUCAUUUACUCUUUUUCAGAAGGUAGACUCACAGUGGAUGCUUUAACUAUGGACCAUGAUAAUAUUAACAAG
This is an RNA transcript of Arabidopsis thaliana (thale cress), 208 nucleotides long. RefSeq lists it as uncharacterized. The record is from RefSeq. The transcript has a single exon. NCBI's taxonomy places the organism in Eukaryota, Viridiplantae, Streptophyta, Magnoliopsida, Brassicales, Brassicaceae.